UCCACUGUCGCAAUAUAUUAAUUAAGUUUUAUGUAGUCAUCAUAUACUAGGCCCAAAACCCCUUAUAAAGCCCAGUCAAGUUCACAUACCUGUAUAUGGCCCACUAGGCCUAAUCACAUUUAUAUGGCCCAUUAGGCCCAAAUCACAUUUAUAUGGCCCAUCAAGCCCAAUUCACAUUUAUAAUCAUGCUCACAUAUGAUUUUCAUCACAUAGCAUCAAUUAUCAAUUUUUGCCUAUUAUGGGCCCAACAACCCAUCAGGCCCAUUAAGCCUAUUCUGGCCCGAUUGGCCAAUUCACAGCCCAAGCCCAUGGAAUCGCUCAUGGGGCCUUAGACAACUUAUCGGUUUCCAUCUCACGAGUGUUCGCGCACUCGCAAGACUGCCGUAGUCAAACUUUUGGCUUUUCGGUAUUUCGACUUUUGCCGAUCUACUUGUGUGCAGUGUGUGUACACACCUUCGGCUUUAUAUCAAGUUAUCAUAAGGUAGAAGUACACACCUUAUCACCUGGAAUACUAAGUAUUCAUAAUUGCCUGAACCUAUAUUCAACAUUAUAUUCCAUUAGUCACAUUUCAUUAAUUCAAAAUAAAUCCACUACUUACCGAAGAACCACCUAUUCUUUCCUUGACUCGAUUGAUCGACUGCGAUCUGCCUAUGUAACUCAAAAUAUGACGUAGUCCCCCUUCCGCAUCCAAGAAGAAAGUCCCUAACGGCUGACACCUUAUGUCGCUUAAACUUGGGAGCCUCUAUCCCAACCUCUCUGCUAGAACCCCCUUUUUCCAUCAGCGAUCACACUGUUGAAUGAAAGGGAAAAAGAGAAACAAAUGAAGAAACCGUAGGUUAACGAAAUUUUUUGAAAGAAUAAAGAAGAAUCGGCUUUUAAGAGUGUAGAAAUGAAAGAACUUAGAAAUAUUUAACAAAAGCAGAAGAAGAUCUAUUUCACUUACCGAUUGCGAGAUUGCUUGCCAACUAGAAAUCAAACCCCCAAAGUGUAUGAAUCGGCUUUUAAAUAAAAAAGAAAUAGUCGGCUAAGUUGAAAAGGGAAGAGAUUGAUUCGAUUAAAAUAGGGAAGAAAAGAUCAAGAAUUUGGCUUAAAGAAAAGAGGAGGUGAUAUGCG
RNAcentral lists this long non-coding RNA (1113 nucleotides) under Gossypium barbadense (sea-island cotton). Its description in RNAcentral is "long non-coding RNA (GBAR_LNC012797)". The record is from RNAcentral. Lineage: Eukaryota; Viridiplantae; Streptophyta; Magnoliopsida; Malvales; Malvaceae.